UGAGAACAUACCUGGCACAGCAGCAGCUCUCCGGUGGACAGGUACGAACCAGGAACACUCCUAAAUCCUCGAAACUGUGGACUGUCGCGACGGAAACUGUCUGGUGAGAGUUGCGUCAGUGGCUGCAGCGACAUGGACGUGGAAAAGCGAACCUCUUCAUGGUCUGUGGAAGAAGUGUUGGGUUGGGCUCAGGAGCAAUUCCCUGAUCACAUGAACCUGCUCCAAAAAGCCAUAAUCAAGCACGCUAUCUCAGGCCGUGCAUUGUUGAGAUUGAAAGCUCAUCACCUGGAGUCUCUUGGUGUGGAUGAUGAGGAUCAGCAGCAGGAAAUCUUACAGGACAUCCUCCUCCUCAGAGUUCAAGAAGAAAUCAGUGAACUCAGUGAUAUCUGCUCUGAUUUUUUUUCUCCUUAAAGAACAAUAACAUAAGAGAGACCAGGCUGACUUUUCCUCAGCAGCUUCUGUUCAUCUGUGUGAAGGAGAUACAAAGAUGGGAGUGAUGUGAAAAUGACAAAGGAGGGAAAGGAAUCCACUUCCUGUCUGACCUCUGACCUCUGCAGAUGGAUGAAAUCAAUUUUUGGCUGAAUCUUUUUUCUUGAAUAACUUUGUUGGUUUUGUUUGUUUGUUUGUUUGUUUGUUUCCUGGUGCAUUUAAAACCCACUAGAUAGUCACAGACUAUCUGCAAAUUGGUUUUCUGCAUUUUCAAAGGAAAUAUGCACCAGUAUCAAUCAACUAAUUUUCUAAAGGCUGUGGUAGGUUUUGUUUUGCUUUUUUGUUUUGUUUUUUUCAGCCACACUACAGCCUGUCUGUAGUGUUUACUAUAUCUUAUAAUGCCAGUGAACCACUGUGGUGCAGACAGAAUUGACCACAAUGUUUCUAAUGAGCAUUGUAGAUGAAACACUCUGAAACCACAAUCCAGUGUUGAAGGGAGAAAACAUUUCAUAUGUCAGAUUAGAAGAGAUGGAUCAGUGUCAGGGAUGUCUAACUCAUGUACUGGAGCAGCAAAAAAAAAAAAAAAAAAAGCUAACCACAAAUAAUGAAAAUUUCAAAGUGUUAGUUUAGUUUUAGUGUAAAGUUUAUAUUUAAUAAUAUCAUCUUUUGUUGGAUCUGUAGAGAUUGCUAGAUAGCCAUCGAUCAUUUCUACCAGUUUUAUUUAACUUCUGCUGGAGACACCCCUGGUUUACUUAAAGGCAGUACAAAAACGGGGACGUUCUUUGGACCCUUUCACGGUUUUGGGAGAAAGACCAUCUGAGAAAAAUACUUGUGCGGAAUGGCAGGUUUGAACAAGUAAGCCUGUAGCUGUAAGGGACAUUGCAAACCAAUACACUGCUGUACUCAUCUAUGUGCACAGAGAGACACACUCACAGCAGCAGGCAGUCCUGAGUAAACAAUUAACCAAACAAGUAAGUCUUUGUACUGUUGGAGAAAACCCCCACAUGCACAGGCAGACCAUGCAAGAUCUUGAUGUCUGUCUGUCAUAUUUGACUAAAUGUAACCAAAAAAAAUCAAGUCUUUUUCUUCACUGAAUCAAAGAAUGUCUUGCAAAUAUAUUCUAGUGGUUUUUAGAUGUGGUCUGCUUUAGCAUCCUUGAGGUUCAAAAGCUUUCAGACAGCGUUUUUUGAAUGUUUGUCCACUUUAUUUAUACUGUUGGCCUCUGUUUAAUAUUUGAAUCAUAUGACAGCUAUGCUCAUUCCUGAACAUUUCUGUACGGACAACAUGGUUCACUGAAUUGACAGUGCUCCUUUGGAAACAUGAUCCUAGCUGCAGGGAUUUUGGAAAAUAGCUCUGAAAUCAUCAAUCACUGGUUUGUCACUGUUUCACACCUCUGGUUAUUGUGUAACUCUGCUGGUGAAAUCUCUGCGAAUGGCUGAGGAUUCCAAAGGGCUAAAACAGGAAAUAUGCAAGCUCUGCUUUAGCAGUUAUACAACCUCAAUUUCAGUGCAACGCAAUGAUGAGCCCUUAAUUUUAUUUCCUAAAAAGAACAUGUGAGAUGUUGAAACUACGACGUUGUUAUUUAUUGUGGAAAAAAUUAAUCAGUUGUAACACAUCUAAAAAUCGUUCCAACAGCGGAACAAAAGGCUGGAAAUGUAAUAUGCAUAAAUCAAAUACAACAGAAUGAGCACUUUACAACUAAUGAGGUUGAUUAACAACAGAUCAUUAGUAUGACUGGGUAUAAAAGGAGCAUGCCAGAUGGGCACAACCGCUCACAUUUGUACAGCAUUUCCAUAGUUUGCAACAAACUGUAUCUGAAAACUGUAGAAAAACCAAAAGACUACAGGACAAAAUAUCAAAGAAACAGGAGAAAUUGCUGCACAAGUGAACAGACAGUGAAAACUGGUUGCUGUUGAUGUUCAGACAGGUUCCACUGUGUUAGGAACAGUCAUGGUUUGAUAUGUCCUUGAUAUUUUAUUAGUGCAUGGCCUCAGGAAGACUGAAGUGGUGAAAGGUGCAUUGAAUCUUUUAAAGUAACAAAUGCUUACAUCCAGUUCUUUUAGGGCUGGCGUUGCAUAUUUCAACAAGGAAUUUCCAACCAUGUGCUCCAUCUUUCACAACAACAUGACUUUAGAUUAGAAGGGUCACUGGUACCUUAUCUGAUGCUGUUGCAAUCCCCUGAAAAAACUAUAACAACUUUACUUUCAUCAGUUCUCACGAGUGUUUUAUUUUUCCUGAAUGUUUCACAUUUAUUUUGAUGCACAUUAUGCCCCCCAAGAGAAAGUAUUGCUUAUAACAUUAAUUACCUGUUGGAUUUUUGCCAUUGCAGUUUUGGAAUUACAUUUUUUUUCUUUUUUCUAUUGGGUUACCAAACUGUGUUUUAUUAUGUACACAAAACUAAGCACCUUCACUAAUAGACCACAACAUUCAUGUCCAUUUGUUUCAAAUUAUUUUCAUGCCACACUUUCUUGAAUGCAAUAUUCUGUGUUCAAAAAAAAAGUCUUGAAUUGAAAAGGCAGUACAUAAAGAUACAGUUUCAUCCUGUAAAAUGUAAACUCUUGACAUUGUGCUGUUUAUAAACUACGUUCUCAGUUAUCAUUGAAUUUCUUUUUUUAAGUAUCGUGGUCAUUUACUGUUCCAAUGGCUGAUGUGAUGAGGUUAUUAUCAUAGUUGUCAGUGUGAAUAUGAAUAUGAGCUGUCACGUUGAUGUUAGUCCCAACAAUGAGGACAAAUUUGGAAAAUAAUAAAUAAAAAUAAAGUAAUUGGCUUUCAUGGUGUAAUAUGUUCAUUAAUGCUUCAUGUUACAUGAAAUUAUAAAGAGUUUCAUGACCUGGUGGUAAAGUAUUUCCAAUGUUUGACCAUCAGAUGUCACUGUCUUAACAAUUCAACCACUUUUAGUAUUAAACUAUAUUGUUCACCAUCUAAACUUUACACUAUGCUUUAAAAAGUGGUACAUUUUUUAAAAGGUUUACUUGUUUCUGGAAAUAUGCACCUAUAACAUUCAAGAUUUCAAGUGUUUAACAUUUCUCAUGAUUUUGAAUAA
Long non-coding RNA from Salarias fasciatus (jewelled blenny), 3472 nucleotides. RefSeq lists it as uncharacterized. Lineage: Eukaryota; Metazoa; Chordata; Actinopteri; Blenniiformes; Blenniidae. The transcript has 4 exons. The record is from RefSeq and is a predicted model, not a curated record.